AUCUUCGGCACGAGCGCCUCUUUUUCUUCGGCUUCAGAAUGCCCGCGGACGGCGAGCAGUCGCAGCAGGCUCAGGCGCCAGCCUGAAGCCGCGCAGCACCAUCGACUAGUACGAGCGCCACUCGAGAGACAUCCAACGUCUUAUCGACAACGCGGCGAUGCCCCGGUCGAAUGGGAAAGAGCGUCGGCUCGAAGCAGCGCUGAUCACGUAUUCAUGCACCCCUUCUUGGACGACAGAGGCGUCGGUCUACCUCGCUGGCCACGUAGAGCUGACGCUGAGUCCGUAGAUGAAGAAUCCAAUGGAACCUGCGAACUCCAUGGGGAAGCACCACGCUCGAGUGCAGCGAAGGAGCAGUGCUGUGAGUGCCUCACCGCUGAGCGCGCACACCGCAGCACGUCACCGCUUCCAGCUCGAUUCGACCACUUCCUCUUUCACCACACCUCUGUUUAGCCCUGCAGUGAUCGUUCAUAGUAUGAAAGAGCGUGUGGGGGGGGGGGACAUCAGACUUGGGAAGCCUGUCUUCCUCUGCACUUUAAAAAGGAUUCGCCCGCAACGGAGGAAGGUGCGGCGGACUGGAGCGACAAUGCAGACGCCCACCAUACUAGAGGAGACGGAAAAGAAACGCGCGAGGAAGCACGACUUACCGGCCAACGUUUGAGGGAGAUGCCGUGGCCACCUUCUACACAAGUUCGACGGCUUCGAAACUGCAUUGUCCAAAGAGCAGGGGCUCUUGCCACACCCGCUCCUCGGCACGCGCAUAGCUGGAUGCUCACGCGUCUCGGUGCCUGUCCACACCAUAGUUUGAUGGCAGGCGGACACCCCCGUAUGUGGCAUCUCACGAUCCAGCACCCCCACCCUCUAGCCCUGCCCGAUGCCGAGCCGCUUCUGGUCGUGACAGGCUCUGGCGCCCACGACGUAGGAUGGGGAGGUCAGAACGCGCUUGCGCCAUCCAUAUGGUAGGCGGAGCGUCAGUGUGAGUCGAGCACACCCCACCUGACCCUCAAUGCCUACCGGUGGUGGGGAGCCUGAGCCACCCCGAGGGGGAUUCACCAGGUGGCGACCGGCAGAACGGGGGAGCGCCUGUGCGGCAACCUGCGAGGUUGGGGACGGAUGGAGUUUGGUGCAGAGCCAGAGCUGGGAUGUCUGGGUCGGUGCACAGCUGUAACGCAUGUGCCUACGGCGUGCUGCUUUGCACCACGCGAUGGGGGCCUGUGGCGGGCCCGGUAGAGCGGAUUCGAACUCGUGUUGCGUGGCAGAAAAUUCGCAGGCUGAGCAGCAAAGUUGUCAGCGCCUUUUUCAGGAGGAUGCAACUGUGUCGGAAGGGCGACGGGGCUUCACCGUGCCACCAGCGAAGCAGUGUAUGACGGGAAGCAUGCAAUGCAAGGAAGGUGUCGGGGGACCGAAGUGUGGUCGUGCCCAUGUGCGCCAUACGUAAGGCCGUGCACACUCGCAUCUCGCUUUGAGCCGGCCGCCGUCAUCGUCCUCGGCGUCAACAGAGUCGCUCUCCAUUCGUUUCGUCUGAUGCUCGCUCGUGGUCCAUUUCACGAGGCUCUCGACAUCCAUCAACCUUACGCGCCUGUGCCUCCCAGACUGGUCGCGGCCUCUCUCGCCCCUUUUUGUCCUUGCCCCGUCUGAAUCGUAUCUCUUUUAGGACGGUGUAUUGUCCCUCUGCCC
RNAcentral lists this unclassified non-coding RNA (1674 nucleotides) under Leishmania donovani. RNAcentral describes it as "gene:unknown". Lineage: Eukaryota; Euglenozoa; Kinetoplastea; Trypanosomatida; Trypanosomatidae. The record is from RNAcentral.